This 253-nucleotide ribosomal RNA is filed under the name uncultured bacterium. Its description in RNAcentral is "partial 16S ribosomal RNA". It matches the Rfam family "Bacterial small subunit ribosomal RNA", at positions 524 to 776 of the family's 1533-position model. The record is from RNAcentral.
UACAGAGGGUGCGAGCGUUGUCCGGAAUCACUGGGCGUAAAGGGCGCGUAGGUGGCGGCCCAAGUCCAUGGUGAAAGCUCGAUGCGCAACAUCGAGUCGGCCACGGAUACUGGGUUGCUCGAGCACUGUAGGGGCAGAUGGAAUUCCGGGUGUAGCGGUGGAAUGCGUAGAGAUCCGGAAGAACACCGGUGGCGAAGGCGGUCUGCUGGGCAGUUGCUGACACUGAGGCGCGACAGCGUGGGGAGCAAACAGG